Molecule: ribosomal RNA, 226 nt
Filed under: uncultured bacterium
Lineage: Bacteria
Description: partial 16S ribosomal RNA
Rfam family: Bacterial small subunit ribosomal RNA
Source: RNAcentral
CGGAACACGUACAGAACCUUCCUUUAAGCGGGGGAUAGCCCAUAGAAAUGUGGAUUAAUACCCCAUAGUAAUAUUGACUGGCAUCAGUUGAUAUUUAAAGAUUUAUCACUUAAAGAUGGCUGUGCGGCUGAUUAGGUAGUUGGUGCGGGUAACGGCCCACCAAGCCAGCGAUCAGUAACUGGUGUGAGAGCACGACCAGUCACACGGGCACUGAGACACGGGCCCG